Long non-coding RNA from Carcharodon carcharias (great white shark), 474 nucleotides. RefSeq lists it as uncharacterized. Lineage: Eukaryota; Metazoa; Chordata; Chondrichthyes; Lamniformes; Lamnidae. The transcript has 3 exons. The record is from RefSeq and is a predicted model, not a curated record.
AGACGGAGGGAGCACAGCUGCGAACAGGCAGGAAGGGACCUAAAGAGAAAAAAAUCUAAAUGUAUGUACCAUGGAGCCUUGCACAGCAAACACAAAGUCGUGAAACCAAUUUGUAAUCGUCCACUCUGUCCAUCAACGCCGGAUCACGUUUCCCACCAUUGGAUGUCAUUGUAAUAGAUCUGCAUACCAUUAUAAGCCAAGCUCGCCGGAAUUAUCCCCCCAUCCUGGAUGAUCCAAGCAUGUUGGUGUGCAAUCACACCGACGUGUUUCACAACUGUACAUGAGUGACGUGCACCUGGCGAGCUAUACUUUGCUCAGGACUCCGAGGCUGUGAAAUUGUGCAUCAUGAACAUGUGCAGUGUACUGAAUUCAGGGAACAACUACAGCUCUGAACAGAAAUAUCACAUCCAAGGCCAGGAUUUUGGGACACAUUGAGGCUUUCAAGUAAGAUAUUUAAUGAAUGUGUUAAAAGAC